RNAcentral lists this small nuclear RNA (252 nucleotides) under Octodon degus (degu). RNAcentral describes it as "7SK RNA (ENSODEG00000022680.1)". It matches the Rfam family "7SK RNA". From Rfam's summary of the family: 7SK was discovered as an abundant small nuclear RNA in the mid-70s but a possible function has only recently been suggested. Two independent studies have found that 7SK RNA binds the CDK9/cyclin T complex (known as elongation factor P-TEFb). The record is from RNAcentral. Lineage: Eukaryota; Metazoa; Chordata; Mammalia; Rodentia; Octodontidae.
CGAUGUGAAGACACGCUGGCUACAACAUCUGCCACCCCACUGACUGCCAGGGCUGACGUGGCUGGUGAGGUGGGUGUCCCCAUCCUUCCUCACCGCUCCACGUGCGUCCCACCCGACAGGAGGAUCACUUCCCUGUCACUGGCAUAUGAGCAGCUGCACUCCCCUGCUAGAACUUCCAAACAAGCUCUCAAAACCUCAAAAUUACUAGCAUAGUAAAAUUUAAGUGUCAAGAAAAUAGAGUUUAAGUGCUUU